AAAUGUGCAUGGGCUCAGAAUGAGGCUGGUGCAAAGCACAGAGGGCUGAGUGUGCAAGGGAGACCAGGUCAGCCACACGAUUAUCACCGUUUGGAUGCCGUCCUCUGGUGCUGAGAUCACAGGAGUGCUCCUCCAAGCCUGGCUCUCUCUCACAGCUGUGCUCCUCCAAGCCGGGCUCUCUCUCACAGGAGUGCUCCAGUACUUUUCCUUCCUUUAUUUUUGAGAUGGGGUCUCAUGUAUCUCAGGCUAGCUUUAGACUUGCUAUAUGGCUGAGGCCGACUUUGAACAUGUGAUCCUCCUGUCUUGGCCUCCCAUGCACUGGGAAUCCUGGCAUGCAUCACCACACCCAGUGUUAGUGUCGCUGGGCAUUGAAGGCAAGGCGUCGUGCGUGUUGAGCAAGCCCUAUUCUGAUGCAGCCACAUGCCCUGGCCUCUAAACUUCUGUGAGACCAUUCCCAAGGUCUAGCCUGUAUCAGGCACCACCGUGGUUAGUCCCUUCCUCGUCAUGUUUGCUGUGAACAGAACUUCUGAGCAGCCUUUGGCACAGGAAUGGAAGAAUGUUCGGGACAUAGUAGGCCCAAAGCAGAGGAGCUGUGUCCUGAGCUGUGGGCCACUGUUUCUGAGCUAGGAAAGAAGUGCUGACAGGAGGAGACGCCACUUAGUGGUGAGGGAGACAAGAAUGACUCAUCAAGGGUGACGUUUAACUACUUGUGUCAGUGGCGGUGGGAGCAUGCCAUGGCACAUAGGAGGUCAGGUUGUGUAGAGUUGCAUUUCUCCCUCCUCCAUGUGGGUUCCAGGGAUUGCACUUGGGUCUUCAAGUUAGGCAGCAAGUGCCUUUACCCACUGAGCCAUGUAACUGGCUGAGAUGACAAAGUCCUAUGCAUCCAAUUCUAGUUUUAUUUGUGUCUAUGUGUGUCUGCAUGCCGCAUGUGUUUGGAUGCCCUCAAAGGCCAGAAGUGGACGUUGGAUCUCCUGGAGCUGUAGUUAUAGUUAUAGGUGUUUAUGAACCUGCCGUGGUCCUCUGAAAAAGCAGCAAGACUCUUAACUGCUGAGCCCUCUCUCCAGCCUCAAGAUGAUGAGAUCUUGAUGAGCAGAAACACUUAAGACUGAGUGACCAUGCAUCACUGCCCUAAGGAAUCUGGAAUGUAGAAAGAUCUUCCCGUACAAAGUUGCCUGGCUAACACAAGUGUCUACAAAAUACAAGUGUGUAAAUCAGAUAGUCCAUGUAAAAGGGUUUCCUAAUCGUCUGCUUAAAUGGUACCCCACAGCCUAGCAGGAGGAAGGCGUGUUCUCAGCUGCAUUGUGAGUUUGAGUGGGCCUGGAAGGUUAAAUGAGCUCUCCUGUCAUCCACAAGAUGUGGCAAUGUUUUUAGAAGAAUUGAAUUUGGAACUUAUUCAAUCAAUAUUUUAACCAGAUCAUUGCAAGUUCCUAUGCAGUGAACUGUCUCUAUUACUUGAAGAAUAUAAAAAUGUAUGCAAAUUAAAUGAGUCAUUUACUAGAAGUUGGAAAACCAUUGUGACAACUCUAACUCAACUAUCUGAGCUGAAGCCGGAGUUGUUCCCUCCAUGUACUUUUUAUCAUCUACACCAUAAGUUGCUCUUCCAUUAGCAGAACCAUGAGUAAAAACUAACAAUUAUAGGACUUUUUCUACAGGUUUGGGAAUGCAGAAGGAGUUGUUAGUAUGAAUUGUGACAAUCUGUGAGCUGGAACCUGAUCAUCAAUUCUCUUUGAAAAUGACAAAAGCAUUUUCCCGUGAAUCACUGUUUUGAAACAACCAAUCAACUUGUUGCUUGAUAUAAGGAACUUGGUUCUCUGCCAAAAUAUCUCCUAGAUUCUGUUAAACAUAUAAUCCCUGUCUCAAGAAACCAAAAGGAGGAACAAUUAUCAAAUAAGUGUUAAAUUUACAAUACCCAGCCCACUUGCCUUUGGCAAAUUCUGCAAAUGGUACACCAUAAUUGAUACUAUCAUGGUGAAUCCAAAGCUAUGUACCUAAUUUGC
Molecule: long non-coding RNA, 1997 nt
Organism: Mesocricetus auratus (golden hamster)
Lineage: Eukaryota; Metazoa; Chordata; Mammalia; Rodentia; Cricetidae
Exons: 3
Source: RefSeq, a predicted model, not a curated record